GAUGAACGCUAGCUACAGGCUUAACACAUGCAAGUCGAGGGGCAGCAUGAACUUAGCUUGCUAAGUUUGAUGGCGACCGGCGCACGGGUGAGUAACACGUAUCCAACCUGCCGAUGACUCGGGGAUAGCCUUUCGAAAGAAAGAUUAAUACCCGAUGGCAUAGUUCUUCCGCAUGGUAGAACUAUUAAAGAAUUUCGGUCAUCGAUGGGGAUGCGUUCCAUUAGGUUGUUGGCGGGGUAACGGCCCACCAAGCCUUCGAUGGAUAGGGGUUCUGAGAGGAAGGUCCCCCACAUUGGAACUGAGACACGGUCCAAACUCCUACGGGAGGCAGCAGUGAGGAAUAUUGGUCAAUGGACGAGAGUCUGAACCAGCCAAGUAGCGUGAAGGAUGACUGCCCUAUGGGUUGUAAACUUCUUUUAUACGGGAAUAAAGUGAGGCACGUGUGCCUUUUUGUAUGUACCGUAUGAAUAAGGAUCGGCUAACUCCGUGCCAGCAGCCGCGGUAAUACGGAGGAUCCGAGCGUUAUCCGGAUUUAUUGGGUUUAAAGGGAGCGCAGGCGGCGGCGUAAGUCAGUUGUGAAAUCGUGCGGCUUAACCGUGCAAUUGCAGUUGAUACUGCGUCGCUUGAGUGCACACAGGGAUGUUGGAAUUCAUGGUGUAGCGGUGAAAUGCUUAGAUAUCAUGAAGAACUCCGAUCGCGAAGGCAUAUGUCCGGAGUGCAACUGACGCUGAGGCUCGAAAGUGUGGGUAUCAAACCAGG
This 759-nucleotide ribosomal RNA is filed under the name uncultured bacterium. RNAcentral's name for it is "bacterial SSU rRNA". It matches the Rfam family "Bacterial small subunit ribosomal RNA", at positions 28 to 777 of the family's 1533-position model. The record is from RNAcentral.